This is a long non-coding RNA of Cavia porcellus (domestic guinea pig), 1254 nucleotides long. RefSeq lists it as uncharacterized. The transcript is spliced from 4 exons. The record is from RefSeq and is a predicted model, not a curated record. NCBI's taxonomy places the organism in Eukaryota, Metazoa, Chordata, Mammalia, Rodentia, Caviidae.
GGCUUACAGCCUGGGUGAAAUUUAAAAAGAAGACAGGGUUGCUUGUGCUUCAGAAGAGUUCCAGUCUUUACCAUUGCCUACGCUUAUGUAUCUGUAGGCUUCCCGUGCAGAUGCUUUUGCUUCUUGGACUUGUUUAGGACUGCAGUGAGCUCCAGGCCUUCGACUUUUGACUGGUUCCUUCAGUGCACUACUGCACAGGUGGACACUGUGUACCUUUCCGCAGCUGAUUCAGGAGGCAGCCAUUAUGUAGACACUGAAGGCACCAGGAGAUUCAUUGAUUCAUCUAGAGCUGCACAGUGGCCGAGCUAGGGUUGGAACAAAACACCCUGGAUCCGGAGGCUUGUCUCUCAUGUACCAGCUACCGAGUAAGGUGAGCUGGUUCUCCAGAUGCUGUGCUGUCUCCAUUAGAAGCUCAUCUCGGUUGUCAAAAGAUGCCUCGGCCUGGCGCCGGAAAUUGGCCCAUCUCUGAAAGUCCUCUUCACUUAUGACCUACAGGACAGGAAGAAGCUCAUUAAUAACUGUGGACUUAAAGCUGUGCGCUUACCCAGGAUGACAAUGACUGGUGUCUACCAAGGGCCUCUAGCCAGGAUCUUGGCAGAAGUACAUCUGACUGUCAUUCAACCACUACGACGCUCUUCAGCAUGAGGAAGCCAGAUCGGUCAUCGCCCAUUACCCACUCAGAGCAGUUCGGGUUAUUUCUUCAGAGGGGAAUGUUACAGGCAGCUGAAUUAGCUACAAAUGUUAUAGGCAGUGAGACAGGGCUAGGUCCUCAAAGGAGCCAGUGCAGAAGCCCAGAAACUGUGCAGCUGUUGGGGAAACAGACACCUCCUGCUGUGGCCCAGGCCUCCCUCAAGAUAAAAGAUCAAGCAAAUUCAUCCAUAUCCUAAGAACUGGUAUUCUAAAUAGAUCUUUAUCACCCUGAGGAAGUCAGGUCUCACCAUCCCACUCCCCUAGAGAAGAGUUACUGCUCCAUAAGAAUGCCUACUUUUUACGUGACUCUGCCUUAGUUGUCCCCAAUGCAAUCAAUUUUACCUGAACAAUUAAUCUUAUUGGUUAACUGUAGUUUUAUCCCACCUUAAGCCCAUCUGCCUUGUGAGUUCCCAGUUUUUCCCACCUUUUACGCAUCUCACCCCAUGAUUUUACUCUGCAAAGGUCCCUAGAGAAGACAGAGUCCCUGGCAAUGUGCUUGGGACCCUCCUGUCCCUCUCUCAGACAGAAACUUUCUUUCUGUCAAUAAAUAUAUUCUAUUCUUAA